Xiphophorus hellerii (green swordtail) is the source of this 5749-nucleotide long non-coding RNA. RefSeq lists it as uncharacterized. The record is from RefSeq and is a predicted model, not a curated record. The transcript is spliced from 2 exons. Lineage: Eukaryota; Metazoa; Chordata; Actinopteri; Cyprinodontiformes; Poeciliidae.
AGCUUUCUGUGAUGAUUCUGGCCCGUCUGCCUGCUUUGUUUUCCUCCUCAGCUCUCACCGCUCCAAUCAAACUCAUCUGGUUCACCUGCGUGCUGCUGCCUGCAGAGCAUUCAGGCUCAUGUCAUCCACCUGCCCUGCAGCUGUUACAUUCAGCACUCAGACGGUGCCAGGCUUUUGAAAGCCCUUUGGUGUGAGUAGAUAUCCAACGUUCCCUCCUUACCUGACCACGAUCUCGACCACAUUUAAUGUCUCUUGGAUUUCCCUGCCUUGCCCAGCCCAUGUCGGAUUCUUCACUGGCUUCUGGUUUCUGGACACGACCCUGGUUCUGCCUCUCGGCGUUGUCCCUGGAUUUGUCUGCCUGAUAUUGUCUUCAGGUGCCUGACCCGUUUCUGUGCCCUGACCACCAAUCCUCACCUGACCCUCAAAUGAGUUUGCCUCUUUCUGCCUCCCUGGUUCUGACCCUGCCUCGGCCUCUUGACCUCCGAAUCCUGAUUCCCCCUGGAUUUAUCACCUGCUACCUACCACUGUGCUACCAGUGCUCACGCUCUGGAUCUGUCUCCAUCUUGCAGAGCUGGUCUGUCCUCUACAACCAAAACCCCAGAGAUGACUCCUCGCCAUCACUUCGCUGAGGAACCAAGAAUCUGCCCCCGUUUUCCACGGCACUUUAAGGAGGUCGGUGGCUUUUCUUACUGAGCCUUAACCCCAAGAUUACAAGCCACUAACCUGCUUCUCUGUUCUCAGAGGUUCCUGUACCUUUGCUGGUGGCCGCCGGUCCCAUACCCUGAUUCUCAAUAAAACAUUUGCUUUUCCAUUUGUGUCUGACUGAAAUUCUGGGUCUUCUGUUCUGAGCAUUACACUUUCCUGCCAUCACCCUGAACAACAACUCUGUAAAUAAUCUGCAUUAAUAAGGGGAAUUACAGCAACAUUUUAUUUCCAUUUGGGUUCAGUAAAGUGUUAAAUUUAAUUUUUUUGAAUUUGAACUGGCGCAUGCAGGCAAGCGAUUGGAGAAGAUUCACAGCAUCAAGGGUGUACUUUUUUCAAUUUUGGCUUCAUGUUUUCAAAUGUCUUAAUCUGUGUGUUUACUUGAAAGUCCAGACAUUUGAUUAUAGUCUAAUAUGUAAAACAGAUUAAACAGGGACAUAGUAAAAUUUUAUUGAAAGUAAACUAACAUCUUUUUGAGGAAACAAAGAUGGAGAGAGUUUUAUGAACUUCUCUAGAAAUUUCGGAGAACCAUUUGAACAUCUUUGCAGACCACACACAUCCUGGACACAAACUGAUGAGACUUUUUACAGAUGUCUCUGUCUUUGCUGUGUAAAGUCAAAUUGUGCAAAUAAAUCUGAUUCUGAUUAAAUUACUUUCAUGCAUUUUGAAGGACUUUCAGCUGAAAACUGGAUUUAUUUAUUUGAUGAAUCAUUUGACGUGUUUUGUUGUGGUUGAUCAAUUAAAUAUCUCAGCUAACACAAACAUUCAGCAGGAAGUAAACCCAGCCGACACUGUAAAUCAUUUGCAGCUUUUUUUUUUCUUUUUCUGGAUAAUAAACAAACUGCAAAGCUAAACAAUGCAGAUUAAACACACGGAGGAAUUCUCACCACACUUAGCAAUGCUGAGCAUCGAGCUCAACCCCAAAGCACACAUCCAGCAUCCUAAUAAAGCCCAGAACAGCAGUCGACCUGCUCAGACACACACACACAAAAACUGAAAAAUACCAGCUUCAAAACACACACACACACACACACAGGCAAGCGGCUCAAACCCCACCUGCGCUGUGCAGAGGCAGACACCUGUCUGUGAGAGAGCAGGGGUCUCAAAUGAAAGGCUGAAUCAGAAUCUCAGAAGCUUAAAAGCGGACAAAGGGAAACACACCCACGAGCACACGCUGGAUAAAGGAGAAAUUUCAACUUUAAGGGACCCAAACAGUGAGUAUGCACUACAUGUGACACAUAGGGGUGCUGUGCUAGAGCGGGCGCCAGAAUACGGCAAAAAAAUAAUGUCUGCUAGGCAUUUGAAACCUGCUUCUGUGCGUCUAGGGAUGCAGAUAUGUACUUUCUGAGGUGAAUCUGGAUUUAUUAAAGUAUCUCUAUGUACCAGUAGUUCUAAUUUGUACAGUUUUAAGGUAAAUAGAAACAUCUAGUGAAAAGAAAAAUUGCAUCCAAACAUGAUGGUGAAUAAGGGCAAAACUAAAGAAAUGUUAUUUCUUACAAGAAUAAAGUUGAUAUUAGCAGAAUAAAGAUAAAAUAUUGUCUGAUGAAAGUCUUAAAAUUUGGAGAAAACUGGCGUCUUAAUGAAAAGCCCCACUUUUUUUCUCAUCUCAAUCUCGUAAUCUGUUGAUGACAAUGACAAAUAAAUCUUAUCUUAUCUUUUUUUUUCUAAAUUUCAUUUCAUCAUAUUCUUUCCUGCUGUUAUUGGUAUUUUAUAUUUUUUUUAACUGUAUUGCUUUAUUUAAGGUUUCUUUAACCUCGUAAUUGUUCAGCACUUUAUAAAGUUAUUAUUUCCGCCAUCAUUUUGGCGCCCCUCUAGCAAAGCGCCCCUACAGUGAAUGCCAGGGUUAAAGCAGUUUGGGGUUUUUCAUCAUAUUAGUUUUAUGUUUUGUAUAAUUUAGUUAACUUAAAUCGGUUUUUACAGUGUUUGCUAGUUUUUAUCAGUUAUUAGUUAAACAUUGUUUAGUUUUAGUUAGUUACAGUACUAGUUUUAGUUCUUUUCAUAAUUUGGUGAAUUUUUAGGUGCAGAAUUUAAAAAAGAUUAAAGUUUUGUGAAUAUGUACAGUGUGAUUGGGUAAUAAAUACUCAACAGAAGAUGUAAUUUUCAGCAAUGAAUUAAAUUAUUGUUGAAUAAGCAACUGACUGUGGUGUUUUAUGCAAACUUCUGCUGUAGCCAUUUUGCAGAGUAUCUUAAUUUGACCACUGCUGAUAUAAACCGCUUGUGUAGGAAAAAAAAGAAAAAUCUAUUUCACAACAGUUCGAAAGCUGAAAAAACAGAAAAUAAAAUAUAUUACAUCUAUAAUUUCAGUAUGCUUUUGUUAGCUUUAUAAAAUCAACAAUAUAGUUCCAAUUAGUUCCAGUUUUUUCCCAUUAAUUCCUGUUUUUAUUUAUCUCAGUUAAAGAAAAUCUUUUCUCAAUUUCAGUUCUUGUUGUUUUGUUUUAGCAUACCAGUUUUUUGUGUCUGGAUUCACAUUAGAAAGCUGAUCCUCCUCGCAGAGAGCUGCAGAUGUUUGUUAAAGAUGUAAAAAAAAAAAAAAAAAAAAAAGGCAGACAGGAAGAAAAGCUGCUUUUAAACAAUGAGAAGCCGAGCAGACUGGGACGGACGAUCUUCAAACACAUCCUCCUAAACUGGAAGCACAUCUGGCAAAUUUCAGAGUGAAUCGAGCAUCAUUGGGAACUAAUGAGCGUGACUUUGUCCUCAAAGUAGACUCAUUAGAGGACUGCGAAAUCCUUGUUGAGUCAAUUAAAGCUCAACGACAUGAAGACUAAAGAAAAUACAGCGUGGCCCGAAGCCUCGCGAAGGAAUUGUUCUGAGCACUGCAGGGAGGCUGUGCAGCUCUUCUUAAAACGCGGCUGCAAUUCCAGUUCUGUGGAGACAAAAGAAAACCCGUUUCAUGGGCUGAAUUCAAAAUAAAUCGUUUUAUGUUCUGAUGAUGAUUGGGAGAGUUUCCCUUUGUACGUUUCUUUAAAAUCAUAUCAGAUGUUUUCGUUUUCCCCAAACGCUCUUUAUUUAAUGUGCUCAAGUUUCAUUUACCUUCGAACCUCACAUGAAAAAAUAAUUCACACCCCCACACAGUGUCACUUAUUUUUGGUUUUUUCCUCAUUCUUAAAUGUUUUAGGUCAUCAGUCUGACUAAUCUAACCCUAUGUUUAAAAGUCAGUGCCCUCUUGUUAAGAUAUUAAUUUACUCUGAUUAAAUGAUCUUUUUCUUCAAAUUAAAAAUACUGAAAUCUGAUUUCCGCCAGAACUGUAGAUCAUUAAAUAACUUGAAUAGAUAUAGGUAUUUAAAUUGAUUAGUUGUAACAAUAGACUUCAUUUCAGAUGAUAAACAGUGCAGUAAAAAUGCUGUAGGCUGUUUAGUUUUUCUAAAUUUAAAUAUAAUAUUGUUACCUGGACGUCGCCAUGUUCUUUACGUUGCAAUGCAGCCUGGGAACAUGACAUAUGCUAGGUGCUACAGUGCUAGCUACAUCCAGCUAAAACAGUCAUUUUUGCACAUUGAGUAACGUUCAGCUGCUUCAAUAUGAACUUUUUCUGUCUUGAAAAAGAAGACAGAAGAGAAAUGAUGAAGAUGAGGAGGACCAAACAGAUGAAGAGGAGAGAGUCAGAGAAAAUGAUGUCUGUGCUGCUGGAAGAUGUUAAUCCAGAUUCCAGAAGGAAACCAUUUGAUUCACAGAGCUAUAGCUACCCUGUUUCCUAUCGAACUACUUUCUACUUUCAAAUAAAGGCAACUAGAGCCAACAAAACCUUUUAAAAAAAAAAAAGAGCUCUAGUUUCUACCAAUCACAGUUAGGAGGCGGGUCUUAGCGCUGUCAAUUAUCCAACAUCCUCUUGUUCGCUGCUGUGCUGCAGCUAGCAGAACCUGUCAUGAAUGCUAAGGCUAGUGAAGGUAGUGAAGGUUUUAACAAAUAUGUAAACAACAUUUUUAAGUAAAAGUUACUUAUUGCAGCUUUAAAUAUUCGUUUUGUUGUCGCUUUAAAAUAUCUACUUCAUAAUCUUACAAUUUUUUAGCUUUCAUGUUAGCUCCUGCUAAUGGUGGUAGUUCCUGCUAAUUGUGUUAGUAAACAGUAGAUCAGAUAUCUGUGGGAUGUGUUGGAUAAACGAUUCCAAUCCUGAGAAGACCCACUUCGUUAAGCAGGCCGCUACAUCUGAUCGGUGUCGUUAUUUUUUCACUAUUGGCCUUUUUUGCUCAAAAAUGACUGCAGAAACACUAAACCUGCGGACUGAGAGUCCAGCCUCAUCGUUCUGGGAGCCACGUACAGAUUCAGCGGCCUGAAGACCGUUAGCAUAAACGCUUCUACACUCUGUGCGUUUCUCAACCUGAGCAACGUCCUCAGAGAUGUCCCAACAAUUACGGACAACAAAGGAAGCUGGAAGUGAAGUCAGAACGAGCUCAUGUAGACACCAGACGUACACACGGCAGCAAACGGAAACAAACAAAGAAUGAAAGUGGCUCUAUUAGCCUCGGGUGUUCUGCAUCCAGUCAGGCUUUGAUAUUCAAACUAACCUUAAAUAGAAGCACAAACCUGCUUUAUUCUUCCGCUCAGAGCCACCACUGAGGUAACCGCACACACACACAUCAACGCAGCCCGUCUGUUCUCCGCUAACGUCUAUUCUUCUUCUCCACUAAAUGCAUUUAUUAGGGCUCUCCUACGGCGGCGGACACGCCAUGUAAAUACGCCGCUGUGUCUUCAGCUUCAAAAAAUGCCACAUCAUACAUGGACAUCGUCCGCCCACGCAACGCCUUCAGAAAGAAAACAUGGAAAUUACACCAGUCAAACUAAAUGUGAUGCAGGAGGGAAAAAAAACUUUUAUUGUAAAGAAAAAUGAAACAUGGAAACAUCUGAAACAUCAGGCUCUGAAUUAAACUGAAGGAUUUCAUGUUAAACUCUAAGGUGUAGCAUGUAGACAUCUGCUCUAACUCUUCAUAUUUAUUUACUUUUAAAGUUUCAUUUCUGACUUUUUCAGGGGAAGAAAGGAGCCGUAACGGUCAAACUGAAGGAAAGGAGAGAAAACAAGGAGGGAAGAAAACGAGGGGGGAAGGAGAGAAGGAAA